UAAAUUAAAGGGUAAAAAAGAUUCCCACUCCCACCUCCCCCAAUAGGAGUCCCACUCUCACUUCUCACUCCAAAAAUGAGUGGGGCCUACGGAGUGAGAUUUCCAAUCCGUGACCAUUUUAAGUAAAUGCUAGAGUGGAAGAAAUCCACACUACUCACUCCCACUCCAGCAAGUAAACAGAGCCUUAGGUGCUAUUGUGCUAUUGUUAUUGUUGUAUGCACAAAGGCCUUAAAAAAAAAUUCACAAAGGCCUUAAAAGAUCCCUUAAAGCUGAUACUGAGUCAAUCAAGCAGAUACUAAACUGUACAGGGAUAGCGACGCUGAUCACCCAAGGAAGCAUUCUCAUACGCAGCACAGCACCUAUCUCUUAUAGAUUUUCUGAGUGUUGCAGGUAUCAGGGAGUCCACUCUCUAUCUGCUACGUUAGCCCAGCUCCACCACUGUUUGUGUUUAGAUGCUGAAGUUUUUAUUUUUUAUUUUUUUUUUCCAUGCAGACAAUUAGACACAUUUCCAAGCUGGAUGGUUUUAUAGUUAAUCGAACAAUAACUCCAUUAAACCACAUUGAAUUGAAAUUGAUGGUUUAAUAGUGUGUUCAUUUUUUUUUAAAAAUAAAGGUGCCCAUAUGGGAAUAUAUACGUGCGUGUAUGUGUGUAAUUAAUCAUUUCUUAGCGUAGGCAUCCUCACUGUAUUAAAUUGAAAAUGCUAAUAAAAUAUUAAAA
Molecule: long non-coding RNA, 717 nt
Filed under: Citrus x clementina
Lineage: Eukaryota; Viridiplantae; Streptophyta; Magnoliopsida; Sapindales; Rutaceae
Description: Citrus clementina (C. clementina) long non-coding RNA (CCLE_LNC002995)
Source: RNAcentral